GACGAACGCUGGCGGCGUGCUUAACACACGCAAGUCGAACGGAAAGGCCAUGAUUUUGUGGGGUGCUCGAGUGACGAACGGGUGAGUAACACGUGAGUAACCUGCCCUCGACUUUGGGAUAACUUCAGGAAACUGGGGCUAAUAACGGAUAGGAGAUCCUGCUGCAUGGUGGGGGGUGGAAAGCUUCGGCGGUUGGUGAUGGACUCGCGGCAUAUCAGCUUGUUGGUGGGGUAGUGGCUUACCAAGGCUUUGACGGGUAGUCGGCCUGAGAGGGUGACCGGCCACAUUGGGAGUGAGAUACGGCCCAGACUCCUACGGGAGGCAGCAGUGGGGAAUAGUGCACGAGGGGCGGAAGCCGGAGGCAGCAACUCCGCGGGCGGGAGGACGGCAUUCGGGUUGUAGACCGGUAGGACCGUUGAGGAUGUCAGCGUGACGGUGAUGGGUAAGGAAGUACCGGCUAACUACGUG
This 468-nucleotide ribosomal RNA is filed under the name uncultured bacterium. RNAcentral describes it as "partial 16S ribosomal RNA". It matches the Rfam family "Bacterial small subunit ribosomal RNA", at positions 28 to 507 of the family's 1533-position model. The record is from RNAcentral.